GGAGGUAUAGCUCAGUGGUACAGUGCGUGCUUGGCGUGCACAGUAUCCUGGGUUCAAUCCCCAGUGCCUCCG
This 72-nucleotide transfer RNA is filed under the name Camelus bactrianus (Bactrian camel). It matches the Rfam family "tRNA". From Rfam's summary of the family: Transfer RNA (tRNA) molecules are approximately 80 nucleotides in length. Their secondary structure includes four short double-helical elements and three loops (D, anti-codon, and T loops). Further hydrogen bonds mediate the characteristic L-shaped molecular structure. tRNAs have two regions of fundamental functional importance: the anti-codon, which is responsible for specific mRNA codon recognition, and the 3' end, to which the tRNAs corresponding amino acid is attached (by aminoacyl-tRNA synthetases). tRNAs cope with the degeneracy of the genetic code in two manners: having more than one tRNA (with a specific anti-codon) for a particular amino acid; and 'wobble' base-pairing, i.e. permitting non-standard base-pairing at the 3rd anti-codon position. The record is from Rfam by way of RNAcentral. RNAcentral also lists the same sequence under 2 other names. Lineage: Eukaryota; Metazoa; Chordata; Mammalia; Artiodactyla; Camelidae.